RNAcentral lists this ribosomal RNA (253 nucleotides) under uncultured bacterium. Its description in RNAcentral is "partial 16S ribosomal RNA". It matches the Rfam family "Bacterial small subunit ribosomal RNA", at positions 524 to 776 of the family's 1533-position model. The record is from RNAcentral.
GACGUAGGUGGCAAGCGUUGUCCGGAUUUACUGGGCGUAAAGGGUGCGUAGGCGGUCAUUUAAGUCAGAUGUGAAAUCCCCGAGCUUAACUUGGGUGCUGCAUUUGAAACUGGGUGUCUAGAGUGCAGGAGAGGUAAGUGGAAUUCCUAGUGUAGCGGUGAAAUGCGUAGAGAUUAGGAAGAACACCAGUGGCGAAGGCGACUUACUGGACUGUAACUGACGCUGAGGCAUGAAAGCGUGGGGAGCAAACAGG